Molecule: ribosomal RNA, 446 nt
Filed under: uncultured bacterium
Lineage: Bacteria
Description: bacterial SSU rRNA
Rfam family: Bacterial small subunit ribosomal RNA
Source: RNAcentral
CGCCAGACUCCUACGGGAGGCAGCAGUGGGGAAUAUUGCACAAUGGGGGAAACCCUGAUGCAGCAACGCCGCGUGAGUGAAGAAGUAUUUCGGUAUGUAAAGCUCUAUCAGCAGGGAAGAAGAUGACGGUACCUGAGUAAGAAGCCCCGGCUAACUACGUGCCAGCAGCCGCGGUAAUACGGAGGAUCCGAGCGUUAUCCGGAUUUAUUGGGUUUAAAGGGAGCGUAGAUGGGUUGUUAAGUCAGUUGUGAAAGUUUGCGGCUCAACCGUAAAAUUGCAAUUGAUACUGGCAGCCUUGAGUACAGUUGAGGUAGGCGGAAUUCGUGGUGUAGCGGUGAAAUGCUUAGAUAUCACGCAGAACUCCGAUUGCGAAGGCAGCAUACCGGCGCCCAACUGACGCUGAAGCACGAAAGCGUGGGUAUCGAACAGGAUUAGAUACCCUAGUA